Esox lucius (northern pike) is the source of this 2404-nucleotide long non-coding RNA. The record is from Ensembl. NCBI's taxonomy places the organism in Eukaryota, Metazoa, Chordata, Actinopteri, Esociformes, Esocidae.
AUAUUGCCAUAUUGAGUCAUGGCGGCAACAACUCCCGGGAAGCACCUGUGACUUAGCUCAUCACAUUGCUCUGGGCCAGUGGGCAACUAAAUUUGGCAAAGACAUUGAGGUGCAUCUCUCCAACCACGGUUUCCCUCAUCAAACUACUGUACAUUCUUGUGGCAUCUUAAUGUUGAUGUAUGCACUCAGCCUGAGCACAGAGGCUCCAUUUUGGUUCAUGGAGAGGGACAUGGCACGCAUCUGAAAAUGGUGGUGCAUUAGUCUAAUGGAACGGUUCCAGAUUGACGGCCAUGGACAGAGGUUUGCAUACUGGACUAAUGAGGCCAGAGCAUUGCUCCAAGGUUCACUGCAGCCGAUAUACAGGGUCCCAAGGUCAGCAAGAGGGAACAUGAGGUUUCGAUUAGAAAAGGAUGACAGGUGCGUCAUAUUGGAGUUACCAACGUGUGUGCUUUCUGAAAUCCUAAAUGAAAUGGUACUACAGGAAGGAGAUAAGGCAUACUUAAGAUUGGCUCUUGUGUGUACCACCUUCAGGGACACUGGCCCUCAUUUAUCAAAAGUGCAUACACCAAAUUUCCAGCGUACACCCAAAACCACGGUGACUUUGAGAUUUAUCAAUAUGGACGUUGGCACUCUCAAAUCCUACGCCAGCUCAGGAGGUGGUGUACGCACGUUCUGAGUUAAUGCGGAAAUGCGCAGGAAAAAAAUCCUAACGCACUGACAAACUAAAAGAUAUGAUAUAUUAUGACCCACUGUAAAAAAAAAACUUCAGUGUUUAGUUUUGUGCAACAUGGACUUCAAUGUUUAAUUUGUGUGACUUUACCAAAGCAUUUGAUUUAUAUGUAUUCCUUCAGAUGCGAGCCUGUGCGCUUUACAUGACGUUUCAGGGUUAGGCCAGGCAGUUGCGCACGGACUGGGUUCAGUAAUAAAAGGCUUUUAAUGACCAAAAUAUAAUUCAGACUGUCAUUUUUAUUAUUUUGUCAUUCUUCUUCUUUUAAAUAAUAAUAAUAAUAAUAAUAAUAAUAAUAAUAAUAAUAAUAGAAAUAGAAAUAAUAAUAAUAACGACAUUCUUCUUCUAAAUAACAAUAAACGUCGUUAAUAAUAAAUAUCAUAAAAUAAUAAGACGACUAUUACAAAUUGUCAUGCAAUUAUUAAUGUGAAUAAAUUGUAUUCCACAUCACAUAAUAAUUUUUUAUUCCGCUUUUUAAACUGCCAAAUGAAACAAUUUUAUUUCUUUCUACCUCCCUGGUGAUCGUCUCAAUCUCCACGUCAGAGAAGUUUCUCUUUUUUGCCGUCUUCCGUGUGUCCAUGGCGUAAAAUGAGGGCGUGGGGGAAGUGGAGACUUGAAUAUAUAGGGGCGUGUUAUUCUAAUGACGGUCGUCUUCAGCUGCGGCAUUUAUCAAGGGCAGGUAUUGCGUACACCUGGAUUUUAAAGGUACGCACAGCUUCAUAAAUCAGGCGGUGAGAGGAGUGUAAGCAAAAUCUUACGCCAACAUAUACACCCGUUUCUACGCAAGAAUGAUAAAUGAGGGCCACUGUGUCCACUCACUCCUUCAGGAGACGGGCACAUUUUCAGUGGCUUGACAGUAAGUGUUUAAAUAAAGGGUGCUGUGGUAUACAAUACUUGAGUACCUCACGUGUGUUUUCACUAACCUUAUGGAAAUGUUCACUUUUGAUUGAUAAUUUGUUUUUCACAGGUGUCGCUACAUGGAGCAGGUUUUCUGAGUCCUACAGAAAAGAAUUCUACACCAUGUACACCGUGGACACCUGUCGUGAAUGUGGAAUGCUUUUCAAAAACUGCACACCUGUCUAGCCUGAAGGUUGUUGCCAGACAUCUGCUCAUCUGCACAAUCCUCUGGAUUGUCACCCUCUUCCUCAUGCUGAGGAUGGUCCUCCACAUCCAAGAUGUCGUCCAUAGAGAGACAAAGGUUGUGGAGAAUGCAGCAGGCAGCAACCACCUUGGGGCACAAACAGAGGACGCAUUACCAGAGCCCUCAGAAAGAUGGAUCUCCAACGGGUUUUCAGCAUGCCAAAUGUGCGCUCGAUUACUCACCUUGGUGUGGUGUACGUAGAACCGGGCCUCAUGGUGUAGAAACGUUAUACAGUUGCAUUAUUUGGUAGUGUUGUUAUUUACUGUGUUAUUUAAGUCCACUACCAAGAUCAUCAUGUAUAAGUCUAAGUCUUUGAUCAGUGUUGAAAACAAAGGGUACUUGGUAGUGAUCUCAGACAUUUGGAGCCCACUGUGUGUUUGUGUGUUUUGGCAACCUUGGAUUUAGGUCCAGUAAAUAUCCCAAGCAGCUACAGGCUGUUGAAACGUGGUGAUAACAGCCACGGGAUGCUGCAGGCAUGGAUAUUCACCAUCUUCUGAAAAUAAUUCUGUUUGAUUUUGUUCAAUAAAGUGUUUUAG